ACCCGAUAAUAGGUUUUUGGGGGUCAAAAACAACAAAAACAAAAUUGAUGCCUAAUUAUAGCUGACACUCUUACAUGCAUUUCCAAAAUGCUACAAUUUGUUCUAAUACCUUUGCUGGGUGCAGAGAUAUUAUCUUCUUGUGGAUAGGAUAGGUAUUUUCAUAAGGUAAAUGGAUCCGGGACUUUCGAGUCAAUUAUCUGGGGAAUCAUAGUAAUAGUUUACCAGAAGCAGGGUAAAAAUACCUACCCCUGGAAAAAAUCGAAAAUAUCGGAGAGUUUUUACUAGAGUUGUUACAAUUGGCCACAGCAUUGAAGUUUUUAGCGCUUGGAUCUUAGUAGACCAGUGUCGGAAAUGACUUCAAUAUUUCCAAAUUGUUUGGCUGUUUUUGUAUUCAUGGUCAAAUACAAAAUGAAAAUAUCAACGUGGACUAAAAAAUACAAUGUCGUCACAAUUUUUUACGGCGACAGAUAUUCUUUUAAAACAACGACUGUUGUAUCGACAAUGAUAAUAGCACUCAUUCAUCGCUAUCGACAACCCUAAUACCGUUAUUGUCUCCUCGACUUCAUUUUGCGACGACGACAACCGCAAUAGGGCGGAAUAUAUAUUUUUUAUAUGGUUCCAAGAGAAGAUAUUCUUGCAUAGUGCCGUUUGAAUCUGGAGGGUCGUAGUGAGGUAAGUACUUGGGAGAUUUACACAACUCCUGCGUCUCUAAAACAAAUAUAUUUAUUUUUAACAAUUCAAUUUGAAUGUUUGUUAGUUUGUUUAAUACGAUCACAUAGAAAAUAAGGAGGAGACGAUUUCAGGGUCCUAGUCUUCUCAAAGCCAUCGUCGUUGUCGAAACCGACGACUGCUAUUGACAAUAAACUUAGUAGUUUUGCACUAUUGUGGUUGAACUUUCCUUCCGUUUCCCGAAUAAGAAUAUAGUACAAUGAGGUGUCAAAACAUUUUUACAAUUCUAAAUUUUGAAUCAAAAAUUAUUUAAACCAGUUCCGAAUAAGAAUAUAGUACAAUGAGCUGUCAAAACAUUUUUACAAUUCUAAAUUUUGAAUCAAAAAUUAUUUAAACCAGUGAAAUUUGUGAAGAAUAACAUACCAUACAAACCUGUGGACGUGUUGAUGCAUCUACCUAUAUUCUUCUGCCAUGGAUUAUUAUGAAAAGUAGUCGUGAAGAUUUUGUAUAUAAACGAGCUUUUAUUUCCAAAACUCGGUAAGGUGCACAAUUUGGCAAAGGUGACAACAAAAGAGUAGACAUGCCAUUGACAUAAUAUACUUUCAAUAAAGAUCUGUACAUUCCCGAAGCAAUCCUGAUAUUCGCCACUAUUAUGACAAAAGGAU
Long non-coding RNA from Musca domestica (house fly), 1334 nucleotides. RefSeq lists it as uncharacterized. The transcript is spliced from 2 exons. The record is from RefSeq and is a predicted model, not a curated record. NCBI's taxonomy places the organism in Eukaryota, Metazoa, Arthropoda, Insecta, Diptera, Muscidae.